CCUACGGGAGGCAGCAGUGAGGAAUAUUGGUCAAUGGGCGAGAGCCUGAACCAGCCAAGUCGCGUGAGGGAGUACUGCCCUAUGGGUUGUAAACCUCUUUUGUCGGGGAGCAAAAGCCGGACGUGUCCGGCUGUGAGAGUACCCGAAGAAAAAGCAUCGGCUAACUCCGUGCCAGCAGCCGCGGUAAUACGGAGGAUGCGAGCGUUAUCCGGAUUUAUUGGGGUUAAAGGGUGCGCAGGCGGAUUUUUAAGUCAGCGGUCAAAUCGUGGGGCUCAACCCCAUCCAGCCGUUGAAACUGGGGAUCUAGAGUGUGCGAGAGGUAUGCGGAAUGCGUGGUGUAGCGGUGAAAUGCAUAGAUAUCACGCAGAACCCCGAUUGCGAAGGCAGCAUACCGGUGCACAACUGACGCUCAGGCACGAAAGCGUGGGUAUCGAACAGGAUUAGAUACCCUUGUAGUU
Molecule: ribosomal RNA, 458 nt
Filed under: uncultured bacterium
Lineage: Bacteria
Description: partial 16S ribosomal RNA
Rfam family: Bacterial small subunit ribosomal RNA
Source: RNAcentral